GAUGAACGCUGGCGGCGUGCCUAAUACAUGCAAGUCGAGCGAACAGAUGAGGAGCUUGCUCCUCUGACGUUAGCGGCGGACGGGUGAGUAACACGUGGAUAACCUACCUAUAAGACUGGGAUAACUUCGGGAAACCGGAGCUAAUACCGGAUAAUAUAUUGAACCGCAUGGUUCAAUAGUGAAAGACGGUUUUGCUGUCACUUAUAGAUGGAUCCGCGCCGCAUUAGCUAGUUGGUAAGGUAACGGCUUACCAAGGCAACGAUGCGUAGCCGACCUGAGAGGGUGAUAGGCCACACUGGAACUGAAACACGGUCCAGAGUCCUGCGGGAGGCAGCAGUAGGGAACCUUACGCAGUGGGCGAAAGCCUGACGGAGCAACCCCGCGUGAGAGAUGAAGGUCUUCGGUUCGUAAAAAUCUGUUAUGAGGGAAGAACAAAUGUGUAAGUAACUAUGCACGUCUUGACGGUACCUAAUCAGAAAGCAACGGCUAACUACGUG
RNAcentral lists this ribosomal RNA (497 nucleotides) under uncultured bacterium. RNAcentral describes it as "partial 16S ribosomal RNA". It matches the Rfam family "Bacterial small subunit ribosomal RNA", at positions 28 to 507 of the family's 1533-position model. The record is from RNAcentral.